UCCGUAGGUGAACCUGCGGAGGGAUCAUUACCGAGUUAUACAACUCAUCAACCCUGUGAACAUACCUAAACGUUGCUUCGGCGGGAACAGACGGCCCCGUAACACGGGCCGCCCCCGCCAGAGGACCCCCUAACUCUGUUUCUAUAAUGUUUCUUCUGAGUAAAACAAGCAAAUAAAUUAAAACUUUCAACAACGGAUCUCUUGGCUCUGGCAUCGAUGAAGAACGCAGCGAAAUGCGAUAAGUAAUGUGAAUUGCAGAAUUCAGUGAAUCAUCGAAUCUUUGAACGCACAUUGCGCCCGCCAGUAUUCUGGCGGGCAUGCCUGUUCGAGCGUCAUUACAACCCUCAGGCCCCCGGGCCUGGCGUUGGGGAUCGGCGGAGCCCCCCGCGGGCACACGCCGUCCCCCAAAUACAGUAGCGGUCCCGCCGCAGCUUCCAUUGCGUAGUAGCUAACACCUCGCAACUGGAGAGCGGCGCGGCCACGCCGUAAAACCCCCAACUUCUGAACGUUGACCUCGAAUCAGGUAGGAAUACCCGCUGAACUUAAGCAUAUCAAUAAGCGGAGGA
RNAcentral lists this ribosomal RNA (566 nucleotides) under Fusarium solani. RNAcentral describes it as "eukaryotic LSU rRNA". The stretch from base 182 to 335 matches the Rfam family "5.8S ribosomal RNA". The record is from RNAcentral. Lineage: Eukaryota; Fungi; Ascomycota; Sordariomycetes; Hypocreales; Nectriaceae.